This 253-nucleotide ribosomal RNA is filed under the name uncultured bacterium. RNAcentral's name for it is "partial 16S ribosomal RNA". It matches the Rfam family "Bacterial small subunit ribosomal RNA", at positions 524 to 776 of the family's 1533-position model. The record is from RNAcentral.
UACAGAGGUCCCAAGCGUUGUUCGGAUUCACUGGGCGUAAAGGGUGCGUAGGCGGCUGUCCACGUCGGAUGUGAAAGCUCGGGGCUCAACCCUGAGAGGCCAUUCGAUACGGGAUAGCUAGAGGUAGGUAGGGGAGAGUGGAAUUCCUGGUGUAGCGGUGAAAUGCGCAGAUAUCAGGAGGAACACCGGUGGCGAAGGCGGAUCUCUGGGCCUUACCUGACGCUGAGGAGCGAAAGCUGGGGGAGCAAACAGG